Long non-coding RNA from Carassius auratus (goldfish), 1399 nucleotides. RefSeq lists it as uncharacterized. Lineage: Eukaryota; Metazoa; Chordata; Actinopteri; Cypriniformes; Cyprinidae. The transcript is spliced from 5 exons. The record is from RefSeq and is a predicted model, not a curated record.
AAGAUUAAACGUUCCUUAAAGAUAAAAUAUGUUUCUUUUCACCAAGUCAGAAUAUGGACAUGCUUUUAAUAUAUAGUGACGUGACAUACAGGCGCGCGCUUCCACAACUGACGCACCGCACGCACAGUAUUGACAAGAAAAGAGUUGUGAAACUUUCUAUCUCGUAAGGAGUUAUGAACGUAAAAUAGUGACACAGACUGGCUACACCAUCUCAUCUGCAGCAGAGACUGUUGUAUCAGAAGGACAGCGCAUUUGUUAGACGCACUUUUCACUUCAACUGUGUCUGACAGGAGAAUUAGCUUUCUGAGCCUUCUAGCCGUUGAGUUACCAUGGCAACCGCGUACACAUCAGCUGCUGGAGAGGAGUGGACUCGUCUGACAUUUUCUCUGUUUCUCGUCAGUCAUACCAAAGAAAAGGCCAACAACUGCAACAGAUUUGUUAAGUAACACGUUAAUAUCAUCCACAGUCUACUUUAAGUACUUUUUGUUAAUAUUUAUACCUCUGUGAUUAUGGUAUUUUUCCUGAAAUGUCUGCUAUCAAGUAUUACGCUAGCAUAGCAACAUAAUUAACGUUAUUGAGAAUGAGGAGAUGUCGUCACGACACAGCGCCCCGCCCCCAGAGACCGCGUCUCCUCCCCUUUCCGCCAUCUUGGGAGGAUACCCGCCAGCACAGUUCAUUGUUUACAUUGGUAGUAGAGGAGGUUGUCGCACUAUUCAAGAAAGCCUGGAAAACACUGCUGUGUAAAAAACUGAUCCAGUGUCACACACGAUUGUCGUGGAAACCGUAGGAACCAUUUUUUACAGUUUUUUCAUUUCCCUACAUGGAAAAAGCAUGAGGGAGAGCAUGUCUCCGAUGUGACAAAGAGACGUCGGAUUUCUUGGGUGGCAGCAAUUAAAAGAAAGGACAUUACUUUCGACCGCAUCUCUGAGUCGAUGAGAGUGUGUUCUCUGCAUUUUCAUUUGGGAAGCCACGAGCAUAGAGGCCACGAGAUACCACACAAGAGUCUCUUCCUUUUCAACAUCAACAACAGAGCUUUGCGGGACAUUUUCCGGCGACAAGAAUGGACUGGAUUUUCUGAGAGAGAGGAACAUUCCAGAAACCACCAUAAAAAGGCUGGAGGAGGGCAAGAUUGAUGUCAGUUUCCUACUGCUAAUGACUGAUGACCAGAUGAGAAGCUAUUUUCCUUCAUAUGGAGACAGAUUGGCAGUUUUGGGAUUUUGUAGGAGGCAAGAAACUGUGCCAAUUUGCAGGAAGUCAAAGCUGUUUGAGCGCCUAAAAUCAAAACUGAGCAAAAGACAAAAAACGAACAAUUCACAAACUGAAAACCAGGGCCUGAAUUCAUAAAGAUUCUAAGAAUCCUCUCAGAAAACUCUUCAUUUAUCUUAAAAACUUUUACGUA